Long non-coding RNA from Ictalurus punctatus (channel catfish), 1304 nucleotides. The record is from Ensembl. Lineage: Eukaryota; Metazoa; Chordata; Actinopteri; Siluriformes; Ictaluridae.
GAGAAACAGCAUUUAAAGAUUGGUCUCGGGACUGGUUUUGAUUAGAAAAAAGGGUAUAAUGUUUUGUUGUUGGUUUUUUUAAAAAGGGCCCAGCGUUCUCUUGGUGUCUUUUUCCACACAAACCCUUUGAGGAGCUCAAGCUGUUUGCUGCCGAUGUGUGAUAGGAGCUCCCCGAGGCGUCGCAUCCCCAAAGAGACGUGUCAGGAUUCGGCUGAUGUCAAAACGAAUAAAAAUAUCAAACUUCUCAGGGUUCUGUAUUUUUCCAAGUGCCUUUACAAAACUUGGAUUCAAAAGGCAGGCCUCGGUUGUAGACCGCGUAGACGUUUUGAGGGUUGCCUCAAAGGGACAGACUGAGGAACCCAUUAGGAACACCGCCUCAAUGACAGAGAAGCCACAAGCAAUAUUUCCAUGCUGGAGGAAACGGCCUAAAGAAAACGUACCUGGAGAAAAGUCCUGAGCUGAAAUCUCUGAAAUAUGCGCUUAGCCUUUACACCCAACCCACAGAUGCCUUGAUCAAAAAAUAUAUAUGCACCCAGAUGUCUCAAGGUAAGAAGUAAUUCUGUUGUUGGGAUAAAUCUUAGUGAUGAUGGAGGGUGUGUGUGUGUUGGGAGGGGGGUGUUUUUUACUGUGAAUAACCCAGAUGUGAGUUAUAAACAAGCAGGGGAAAGGAUAAGUGGCUUUAUUCUCAUAAUAUUGUUUGUAUUGAUCAUCACUGAGAUGGAGAUGAGAUCUAUUGGGUAUAGUAGUGCAAUAAAUGGUGCAAAUGCAUUGCUGUAAAAUCUAAAGAGAUGGGUGGGUUUAAUGGGACAGAACAUUGCUAAAUCGUGAACACAACAGGCGCUCCCUGUGGUUUCAAUUCUAAUUGUAGUGCAGCUGAAUAAUGAUGUUCAAUAUCGUAUUCCGGCUCUCAAGGCGGUGCUUCGAAAGAGAUACUGUUUACAAGAGGAUGUAUAGUGUGUAGUUCUGGAAACUUGCUCAGAUAUUGCAAAUAAGUCAUUUCAUGUGGAGUGAAUACAUGGCAUGGCAUGGCGUGAGACAUUGCAAGACACUGUGGGACAGUCUGAGACAUUGCGAGACACUGUGGGACAGUCUGAGACAUUGUGGCACAAUGUGAGACAUUGUGAGAGAGUCUGAGACAGUCUGAGACAUUGCGAGACACUCUGGGACAGUCUGAGACAUUAUGGCACGGUGUGAGACAUUGUGAGACUGUAAGGUGUGAGACAAUGUGAGAUGUUGUGAGACAUUAUUAAGAGUUUGGUUUGGACAAAAAGAAGAUGCCCAGAAGCAUGCCGGAACAAUACGCC